CGACGUGGAUAACCUGCCAUAUACAGGGGGAUAGCACUUAGAAAUAGGUGCUAAUACCGCAUAAGCGCACAGCUUCGCAUGAAGGAGUGUGAAAAACUAAGGUGGUAUAUGAUGGAUCCGCGUCUGAUUAGCCAGUUGGUGAGGUAACGGCUCACCAAAGCGACGAUCAGUAGCCGGCCUGAGAGGGCGGACGGCCACAUUGGGACUGAGACACGGCCCAGACUCCUACGGAAGGCAGCAG
Molecule: ribosomal RNA, 241 nt
Filed under: uncultured bacterium
Lineage: Bacteria
Description: partial 16S ribosomal RNA
Rfam family: Bacterial small subunit ribosomal RNA
Source: RNAcentral